CUCACCAUUCUGGAGGCUAGAAGUCUGAAAUCAAGCAUUUAGAGGAAGCAGCAGGGGCCGUGUGGGGACAAUGGAUGUUUCGGCGACCGUCUGCCACCCAUUCCCCUCCCGUGAAUCACCAGCCCUGUGAUGCUGUCCACCGUGCAUGCUGACGUCCGCCAGCUUUGCAGCUUCCUGUCUUCCCGAAGUGGUACAGACCCAGAGCCUUUCUCCUGCAGAAUCAUGGGAACCUGGUGAAGGAGGACAGGCUGUUUUCCCAGUCGUGGCAGUCCUGUGGGUCUGAGCAGCUGCGGCGGGGAUGACCACACCUCUACCCUGGCUCAAGUCUUCCAGGCACCUGGAGAAGCCAUGGGGUUUCCGGGGGGCUUCCAUUUCCACAACCGUAUUAUGAACGAGCCGGUGCCCACCCACGCCACGAGGGCUUUACUGUUGACUUCCAGUGUCACAGCUGUUCUAGGAAGCACCUGCGGGGCUUUUGCCCAUUAAUGUUUCAUGCCCUCUGUCUGUCCGUCCACUGUCCAAGGGGGACCACCUGCUCGGAGGUGGUGUGCUCGGCCUGCGGGUGGAACCCGGGCUUCCCUCUGGCGUCUUGUUUACAGAGCUUCGUCUGCUCUCAGAAUGAAGUCCUUGAGAAUCAUUCAAUGACUUAAAAUACAAAUAAUGAUCGUGUCUAAGAAGAUUAU
Callorhinus ursinus (northern fur seal) is the source of this 683-nucleotide long non-coding RNA. RefSeq lists it as uncharacterized. The record is from RefSeq and is a predicted model, not a curated record. NCBI's taxonomy places the organism in Eukaryota, Metazoa, Chordata, Mammalia, Carnivora, Otariidae.